GCUGUAGUCUCUUGAGUAGUCUUCUGCACCUUCUCAGCAAUGCUGUUGCUGCUCUGAUGUACCUGCAGGUCUUUCUGCUAUUCCCUCCAGUUUGCCGUGUACAAGGACAGGAGAAGCUUGAUGAAGAUCAGACAGAUCUGCAUAGACUGCGUGGAUAAGAAUCAGAACGCUGCCUGGCUUUGGCUAGAAUUGAGGAGUGGAGUGGCAACAUAUGGAAAACUAAACUAGAAGAUAGCUUCGGUUCAGAUUUCUCUCUUAUUACCCAUUGCCUAUUUGUACACACAUCAUUCCGCUCCUUGACAAAAGGAACAUAGCACAUAGCUAUUCGAGUUUCCUCUAGAGGUCAUCCGUUGGUCAGCCAUAGCAUGGUAGUGGACCAUGAUGUGGGGAAAUAACAACAAUAAAAAAUAUGCUAUUAAAUUGCAUAUUUAGGUGGAGACAUAUAAUGAAACAAUAUAAUCAUGAUGAACACUGGAAGCUAUUUGGAGCUGACAAGUUACCUGCAAGACGGGGAGUAUAAAAUCAUUAUUCCAGGAUCAGUCCGUCCUUUCUAGUCACUAGGCAUGUAAA
Molecule: non-coding RNA, 570 nt
Organism: Microcebus murinus (gray mouse lemur)
Lineage: Eukaryota; Metazoa; Chordata; Mammalia; Primates; Cheirogaleidae
Source: RefSeq, a predicted model, not a curated record